RNAcentral lists this ribosomal RNA (782 nucleotides) under uncultured bacterium. RNAcentral's name for it is "bacterial SSU rRNA". It matches the Rfam family "Bacterial small subunit ribosomal RNA", at positions 68 to 863 of the family's 1533-position model. The record is from RNAcentral.
GAUCCUAUUGAACCUAGUGAUGUAUGGAUUAGUGGCGGACGGGUGAGUAACGCGUGGAUAACCUGCCGUAUACAGGGGGAUAACACUUAGAAAUAGGUGCUAAUACCGCGUAAGCGCACGGUUCCGCAUGGAACAGUGUGAAAAACUCCGGUGGUAUACGAUGGAUCCGCGUCUGAUUAGCCAGUUGGCGGGGUAACGGCCCACCAAAGCGACGAUCAGUAGCCGGCCUGAGAGGGUGAACGGCCACAUUGGGACUGAGACACGGCCCAAACUCCUACGGGAGGCAGCAGUGGGGAAUAUUGCACAAUGGGGGAAACCCUGAUGCAGCGACGCCGCGUGAGUGAAGAAGUAUCUCGGUACGUAAAGCUCUAUCAGCAGGGAAGAAAAUGACGGUACCUGACUAAGAAGCCCCGGCUAACUACGUGCCAGCAGCCGCGGUAAUACGUAGGGGGCAAGCGUUAUCCGGAUUUACUGGGUGUAAAGGGAGCGUAGACGGCAGCGCAAGUCUGGAGUGAAAUGCCGGGGCUCAACCCCGGAACUGCUUUGGAAACUGUGCAGCUCGAGUGCAGGAGAGGUAAGCGGAAUUCCUAGUGUAGCGGUGAAAUGCGUAGAUAUUAGGAGGAACACCAGUGGCGAAGGCGGCUUACUGGACUGUAACUGACGUUGAGGCUCGAAAGCGUGGGGAGCAAACAGGAUUAGAUACCCUGGUAGUCCACGCCGUAAACGAUGAUUACUAGGUGUCGGGGGGCCAAGGCCCUCCGGUGCCGCCGCAAACGCAUUAA